GACGAACGCUGGCGGCGUGCUUAACACAUGCAAGUCGAACGGUGAAGCCUUCGGGUGGAUCAGUGGCGAACGGGUGAGUAACACGUGAGCAAUCUGCCCUUGACUCUGGGAUAACUUCGGGAAACCGGAGCUAAUACCGGAUAUGACAUCUGGCCGCAUGGUCUGGGUGUGGAAAGAUUUAUCGGUCAAGGAUGAGCUCGCGGCCUAUCAGCUUGUUGGUGGGGAAUGGCCCGCCAAGGCGACGACGGGUAGCCGGCCUGAGAGGGCGACCGGCCACACUGGGACUGAGACACGGCCCAGACUCCUACGGGAGGCAGCAGUGGGGAAUAUUGCGCAAUGGGCGGAAGCCUGACGCAGCGACGCCGCGUGAGGGAUGAAGGCCUC
This 384-nucleotide ribosomal RNA is filed under the name uncultured bacterium. RNAcentral describes it as "bacterial SSU rRNA". It matches the Rfam family "Bacterial small subunit ribosomal RNA", at positions 28 to 418 of the family's 1533-position model. The record is from RNAcentral.